Molecule: small RNA, 218 nt
Filed under: Scytonema hofmannii
Lineage: Bacteria; Bacillati; Cyanobacteriota; Cyanophyceae; Nostocales; Scytonemataceae
Description: c-di-AMP sequence
Rfam family: c-di-AMP riboswitch aptamer (ydaO/yuaA leader)
About the family: This family represents a conserved RNA structure found upstream of the ydaO and yuaA genes in Bacillus subtilis and related genes in other bacteria.
Source: RNAcentral
AUUCACGGUUUGCCUUAGACACAGUGUUCCCUGAGGUAAGCCUGGAGCGGAGGAACCAACCUUGGGGCUAAUCUUUUAAAAGGAUAAGGAAUCAAGUAUCGAGGAUAAAUGAGAACUUGCCUUUCACACUUCAUCCGACCUACUGAAUCCUUACGAAAGAGGGACAUCUCUCAGUCCUAGCCCGUCAGCUAACUUCGUCGGCAUUGAGAAGAGACUGA